AAUGUAUUCUGUUAGAAAAUUGCGUACGGUAAAAACGCAGCGAAAAGAAAUCAAAUAAAUUUGAUUUUGAAAACUCUCGAGAUCUAAUCUCAAAACCACGCAAUUAGGAUCCCUCAUGUUCUUUAAGAUUAAAGGAGAUAAGUAAAAUCGAAUCAUUACCUUUUUCGCGGAUAAAUCCUUCCCCCAAUUUGAUGAUCAUGGAAUCGGGUUCUCUUGAAGCCGCACACGCGUCCGGCCUCUAUAGGUAUCCACACGAGGUUCUUGAUUUGAUCGAUGUUCUCACCGGGGUGCUAGCUCCCUUGCAAAAGGACGUCUUUCUUGCUAGAAGAUGGAAGAGAGAAGAGAGGAUAGAAGACAGCUUCAGAUUUCUAAAAACUCCCGUAUAUUAUAUAUAUAGGAAUAUAAUCCUAUGCCUAAUAAUAUAAUGACAAUUAAGGAUAAGUAUAAAUCUAGAUUAAAUUUAUCCUUUCCUUAAUUUGUUAGAUCGAUCAAAUCCUAAUUUGAUUCGAUCUUUAUAUUAAUUUGAUCAUAUCAAAUUAAUAAUGCAACAUUUGCACAUAAGUCCUCUCUUGUAACAUUUACACCUUAAUACCACUAAUUUGUAACAAUUACAAAUUAGUCUAAUUAUCAUUAUAUUGACAAUUAGGUCCUCCGGCGAUUCAAUAAUCGCGAUCUAGCUAUCCGAUCAAUCACAACCUCUUAUGUGUGUGACCCUAUAGGUUCUAUUCUGUCUGGUAGUGAGAUAUAUUUUGAUAACUAUCAACAAUAUCACUGAAACUCCUUUCAGUGGAUCGAAACAAUUCCAACUCAGCCCAAUGAGAAUUAUCGAUCAUCUAGACAAUUCUCACGAGUCUCACAAUCCACCAGUGACGCCUAGCAGCAUGUAGUGGCAUUCCAGUAGAAUGGAAUAAUGAACCUCUUGGUGCAGUUACUGUGUGAUACAAUCCUUCUAUCAUGAGUCCCGACUAGAUGGAGGUUAUGGAAUAACUCGUCAAACCCCAUCGUCUGUCAUAUGUUAAAUUUAUUCGACUCGAGUUUCUAAUAUCGGAAACCCUUUUCCGCUAUUUAUUCUGCCCUGGCCAAGGUCUUCUAAACUCGGUCUCAUAAAUCACAUAGGACUAACACCCCUAUCUACCAAGGGAGAUAGAUUCCAUCUAAGUGCGCACCCUAUUCCUACAAUGAACCUACUGCAGCCAACAUGCACCGCAAGGAUCCGAAUGGCUAGGGACCAAGUGUAUGUACAGUCAAACUAUAGUAACCUCAUUGUGAAUAGCCGAGGCACCGCAGGUCAAAGGACCAGUCACACUACUGCAAUAAUUGAGUAAGUCACUGACGAGUGAGUAGACAUCCAAGUGACUUCUCGGGUUGGUCACGCUCGGUACCCUUGUUCUCUAACAACCACCUGCAUAUUCGCUUCAGUGUCCCCACACUGUUGACUCAAGACUCGUCUACCCAAAAGGGAAGCGACCUAUGCACCAAUCUCACUGGAUCAAUCACC
This 1498-nucleotide long non-coding RNA is filed under the name Ananas comosus (pineapple). RNAcentral describes it as "long non-coding RNA (ACOM_LNC044058)". Lineage: Eukaryota; Viridiplantae; Streptophyta; Magnoliopsida; Poales; Bromeliaceae. The record is from RNAcentral.